UUUACUCGUGGCAGGCAUGCCUAACACAUGCAAGUCGAGCGGCAGCAGGUCCUUCGGGAUGCUGGCGAGCGGCGGACGGGUGAGUAACACGUGGGAAUCUGCCCAUCGGUGGGGGAUAGCCCGAGGAAACUCGGAUUAAUACCGCAUACGCCCUACGGGGCAAAGUAGACCUCUGAUUUAAGAACACGCCGAUGGAUGAGCCCUUUGGNCGAUUAGCUAGUUGGCGGGGUAAAGGCCUACCAAGGCAACGAUCGGUAGCUGGUCUGAGAGGACGAUCAGUCACACCGGAACUGAGACACGGUCCGGACUCCUACGGGAGGCAGCAGUGGGGAAUAUUGGACAAUGGGCGAAAGCCUGAUCCACCAAUGCCGCGUGGGUGAAGAAGGCUUGAGGGUUGUAAAGCCCUUUCAACACGGAGGAAAAGCGUUCGGUUAAUACCCGUGCGUCCUUGACGUUACCUGCAGAAGAAGCACCGGCUAACUCCGUGCCAGCAAGCCGCGGG
RNAcentral lists this ribosomal RNA (502 nucleotides) under uncultured prokaryote. RNAcentral's name for it is "bacterial SSU rRNA". It matches the Rfam family "Bacterial small subunit ribosomal RNA", at positions 37 to 521 of the family's 1533-position model. The record is from RNAcentral.